ACAGGGAUUGCCCCAGUAACGGCGAGUGAAGCGGCAACAGCUCAAAUUUGAAAUCUGGCUCUUUUAGAGUCCGAGUUGUAAUUUGCAGAGGGCGCUUUGGCUUUGGCAGCGGUCCAAGUUCCUUGGAACAGGACGUCACAGAGGGUGAGAAUCCCGUACGUGGUCGCUGGCUAUUGCCGUGUAAAGCCCCUUCGACGAGUCGAGUUGUUUGGGAAUGCAGCUCUAAAUGGGAGGUACAUUUCUUCUAAAGCUAAAUAUUGGCCAGAGACCGAUAGCGCACAAGUAGAGUGAUCGAAAGAUGAAAAGCACUUUGGAAAGAGAGUCAAACAGCACGUGAAAUUGUUGAAAGGGAAGCGCUUGCAGCCAGACUUGCUUGCAGUUGCUCAUCCGGGCUUUUGCCCGGUGCACUCUUCUGUAGGCAGGCCAGCAUCAGUUUUGGCGGUAGGAUAAAGGUCUCUGUCACGUACCUCCUCUCGGGGAGGCCUUAUAGGGGAGACGACAUACUACCAGCCGGAACUGAGGUCCGCGCAUCUGCUAGGAUGCUGGCGUAAUGGCUGUAAGCGGCCCGUCUUGAAACACGGACCAAGGAGUCUAACAUCUAUGCGAGUGUUUGGGUGUCAAGCCCGAGCGCGUAAUGAAAGUGAACGGAGGUAGGAACCCGCAAGGGUGCACUAUCGACCGAUCCUGAUGUCUUCGGAAGGAUUUGAGUAAGAGCAUGGCUGUUGGGACCCGAAAGAUGGUGAACUAUGCUUGAAUAGGGUGAAGCCAGAGGAAACUCUGGUGGAGGCUCGCAGCGGUUCUGACGUGCAAAUCGAUCGUCAAAUUUGGGCAUAGGGGCGAAAGACUAAU
RNAcentral lists this ribosomal RNA (849 nucleotides) under Alternaria caricis. Its description in RNAcentral is "eukaryotic LSU rRNA". It matches the Rfam family "Eukaryotic large subunit ribosomal RNA", at positions 68 to 935 of the family's 3401-position model. The record is from RNAcentral. Lineage: Eukaryota; Fungi; Ascomycota; Dothideomycetes; Pleosporales; Pleosporaceae.